GUUCACAAUGAUGAUUGACAAACCGCCCCAGUCUGACAGCCACUGACUGAUUGGUUAACAUCUGAUAGACA
Molecule: small nucleolar RNA, 71 nt
Organism: Liolophura sinensis
Lineage: Eukaryota; Metazoa; Mollusca; Polyplacophora; Chitonida; Chitonidae
Source: RefSeq, a predicted model, not a curated record